GGGUUGUGAGGUUAAGCGACUAAGCGUACACGGUGGAUGCCCUGGCAGUCAGAGGCGAUGAAGGGCGUGCUAAUCUGCGAUAAGCGCCGGUAAGGUGAUAUGAACCGUUAUAACCGGCGAUACCCGAAUGGGGAAACCCAGUGUGACUCGUCACACUAUCAUUAACUGAAUCCAUAGGUUAAUGAGGCGAACCGGGGGAACUGAAACAUCUAAGUACCCCGAGGAAAAGAAAUCAACCGAGAUUCCCCCAGUAGCGGCGAGCGAACGGGGAGGAGCCCAGAGCCUGAAUCAGCAUGUGUGUUAGUGGAAGCGUCUGGAAAGGCGCGCGAUACAGGGUGACAGCCCCGUACACAAAAGCGCAUGUGCUGUGAGCUCGAUGAGUAGGGCGGGACACGUGGUAUCCUGUCUGAAUAUGGGGGGACCAUCCUCCAAGGCUAAAUACUCCUGACUGACCGAUAGUGAACCAGUACCGUGAGGGAAAGGCGAAAAGAACCCCGGCGAGGGGAGUGAAAAAGAACCUGAAACCGUGUACGUACAAGCAGUGGGAGCNNAUAGGGGAGCCGGAGGGAAACCGAGUCUUAAUUGGGCGUUAAGUUGCAGGGUAUAGACCCGAAACCCGGUGAUCUAGCCAUGGGCAGGUUGAAGGUUGGGUAACACUAACUGGAGGACCGAACCGACUAAUGUUGAAAAAUUAGCGGAUGACCUGUGGCUGGGGGUGAAAGGCCAAUCAAACCGGGAGAUAGCUGGUUCUCCCCGAAAGCUAUUUAGGUAGCGCCUCGUGAAUUCAUCUCCGGGGGUAGAGCACUGUUUCGGCUAGGGGGCCAUCCCGGCUUACCAACCCGAUGCAAACUGCGAAUACCGGAGAAUGUUAUCACGGGAGACACACGGCGGGUGCUAACGUCCGUCGUGAAGAGGGAAACAACCCAGACCGCCAGCUAAGGUCCCAAAGUCAUGGUUAAGUGGGAAACGAUGUGGGAAGGCCCAGACAGCCAGGAUGUUGGCUUAGAAGCAGCCAUCAUUUAAAGAAAGCGUAAUAGCUCACUGGUCGAGUCGGCCUGCGCGGAAGAUGUAACGGGGCUAAACCAUGCACCGAAGCUGCGGCAGCGNNGUUGGGUAGGGGAGCGUUCUGUAAGCCUGUGAAGGUGGCCUGUGAGGGUUGCUGGAGGUAUCAGAAGUGCGAAUGCUGACAUAAGUAACGAUAAAGCGGGUGAAAAGCCCGCUCGCCGGAAGACCAAGGGUUCCUGUCCAACGUUAAUCGGGGCAGGGUGAGUCGACCCCUAAGGCGAGGCCGAAAGGCGUAGUCGAUGGGAAACGGGUUAAUAUUCCCGUACUUGGUGUUACUGCGAAGGGGGGACGGAGAAGGCUAUGUUGGCCGGGCGACGGUUGUCCCGGUUUAAGCGUGUAGGUGUGUGUUCCAGGUAAAUCCGGUUCACUUUAACACUGAGGCGUGAUGACGAGGCACUACGGUGCUGAAGUAACAAAUGCCCUGCUUCCAGGAAAAGCCUCUAAGCAUCAGGUAACAUCAAAUCGUACCCCAAACCGACACAGGUGGUCAGGUAGAGAAUACCAAGGCGCUUGAGAGAACUCGGGUGAAGGAACUAGGCAAAAUGGUGCCGUAACUUCGGGAGAAGGCACGCUGACACGUAGGUGAAGUGAUUUACUCAUGGAGCUGAAGUCAGUCGAAGAUACCAGCUGGCUGCAACUGUUUAUUAAAAACACAGCACUGUGCAAACACGAAAGUGGACGUAUACGGUGUGACGCCUGCCCGGUGCCGGAAGGUUAAUUGAUGGGGUCAGCGCAAGCGAAGCUCCUGAUCGAAGCCCCGGUAAACGGCGGCCGUAACUAUAACGGUCCUAAGGUAGCGAAAUUCCUUGUCGGGUAAGUUCCGACCUGCACGAAUGGCGUAAUGAUGGCCAGGCUGUCUCCACCCGAGACUCAGUGAAAUUGAACUCGCUGUGAAGAUGCAGUGUACCCGCGGCAAGACGGAAAGACCCCGUGAACCUUUACUAUAGCUUGACACUGAACAUUGAGCCUUGAUGUGUAGGAUAGGUGGGAGGCUUUGAAGNNNNNNNNCCGGGUUGCGGACAGUGUCUGGUGGGUAGUUUGACUGGGGCGGUCUCCUCCUAAAGAGUAACGGAGGAGCACGAAGGUUGGCUAAUCCUGGUCGGACAUCAGGAGGUUAGUGCAAUGGCAUAAGCCAGCUUGACUGCGAGCGUGACGGCGCGAGCAGGUGCGAAAGCAGGUCAUAGUGAUCCGGUGGUUCUGAAUGGAAGGGCCAUCGCUCAACGGAUAAAAGGUACUCCGGGGAUAACAGGCUGAUACCGCCCAAGAGUUCAUAUCGACGGCGGUGUUUGGCACCUCGAUGUCGGCUCAUCACAUCCUGGGGCUGAAGUAGGUCCCAAGGGUAUGGCUGUUCGCCAUUUAAAGUGGUACGCGAGCUGGGUUUAGAACGUCGUGAGACAGUUCGGUCCCUAUCUGCCGUGGGCGCUGGAGAACUGAGGGGGGCUGCUCCUAGUACGAGAGGACCGGAGUGGACGCAUCACUGGUGUUCGGGUUGUCAUGCCAAUGGCACUGCCCGGUAGCUAAAUGCGGAAGAGAUAAGUGCUGAAAGCAUCUAAGCACGAAACUUGCCCCGAGAUGAGUUCUCCCUGAGACUUAGAGUCUCCUGAAGGAACGUUGAAGACGACGACGUUGAUAGGCCGGGUGUGUAAGCGCAGCGAUGCGUUGAGCUAACCGGUACUAAUGAACC
Molecule: ribosomal RNA, 2749 nt
Filed under: Salmonella enterica subsp. enterica serovar Dublin
Lineage: Bacteria; Pseudomonadati; Pseudomonadota; Gammaproteobacteria; Enterobacterales; Enterobacteriaceae
Description: bacterial LSU rRNA
Rfam family: Bacterial large subunit ribosomal RNA
Source: RNAcentral